AGUGAACGCCGGCGGUAGGCCUAACACAUGCAAGUCGAACGGCAGCACAGAGGAGCUUGCUCCUUGGGUGGCGAGUGGCGGACGGGUGAGGAAUACAUCGGAAUCUACUCUGUCGUGGGGGAUAACGUAGGGAAACUUACGCUAAUACCGCAUACGACCUACGGGUGAAAGCAGGGGAUCUUCGGACCUUGCGCGAUUGAAUGAGCCGAUGUCGGAUUAGCUAGUUGGCGGGGUAAAGGCCCACCAAGGCGACGAUCCGUAGCUGGUCUGAGAGGAUGAUCAGCCGCACUGGAACUGAGACACGGUCCAGACUCCUACGGGAGUCAGCAGUGGGGAAUAUUGGACAAUGGGCGCAAGCCUGAUCCAGCCAUACCGCGUGGGUGAAGAAGGCCUUCGGGUUGUAAAGCCCUUUUGUUGGGAAAGAAAUCCAUCUGGUUAAUACCCGGGUGGGAUGACGGUACCCAAAGAAUAAGCACCGGCUAACUUCGUGCCAGCCGCCGCCGUAA
RNAcentral lists this ribosomal RNA (506 nucleotides) under uncultured bacterium. Its description in RNAcentral is "partial 16S ribosomal RNA". It matches the Rfam family "Bacterial small subunit ribosomal RNA", at positions 29 to 523 of the family's 1533-position model. The record is from RNAcentral.